Molecule: ribosomal RNA, 410 nt
Filed under: uncultured Jatrophihabitans sp.
Lineage: Bacteria; Bacillati; Actinomycetota; Actinomycetes; Jatrophihabitantales; Jatrophihabitantaceae
Description: bacterial SSU rRNA
Rfam family: Bacterial small subunit ribosomal RNA
Source: RNAcentral
GUGGGGAAUCUUGCACAAUGGGCGAAAGCCUGAUGCAGCGACGCCGCGUGAGGGAUGACGGCCUUCGGGUUGUAAACCUCUUUCAGCACCGACGAAGCGAAAGUGACGGUAGGUGCAGAAGAAGGACCGGCCAACUACGUGCCAGCAGCCGCGGUAAUACGUAGGGUCCAAGCGUUGUCCGGAAUUAUUGGGCGUAAAGAGCUCGUAGGCGGUUUGUCGCGUCGGCUGUGAAAACAUGGGGCUCAACCCUGUGCCUGCAGCCGAUACGGGCAAACUAGAAUUCGGUAGGGGAGACUGGAAUUCCUGGUGUAGCGGUGAAAUGCGCAGAUAUCAGGAGGAACACCGGUGGCGAAGGCGGGUCUCUGGGCCGAUAUUGACGCUGAGGAGCGAAAGCGUGGGGAGCGAACAGG